This 402-nucleotide ribosomal RNA is filed under the name uncultured bacterium. Its description in RNAcentral is "partial 16S ribosomal RNA". It matches the Rfam family "Bacterial small subunit ribosomal RNA", at positions 355 to 774 of the family's 1533-position model. The record is from RNAcentral.
UGGGGAAUCUUGCGCAAUGGGCGAAAGCCUGACGCAGCCAUGCCGCGUGGAUGAUGAAGGACUUAGGAUUGUAAAAUCCUUUCACCGGGGACGAUAAUGACGGUACCCGGAGAAGAAGCCCCGGCUAACUUCGUGCCAGCAGCCGCGGUAAUACGAAGGGGGCUAGCGUUGCUCGGAAUUACUGGGCGUAAAGGGCGCGUAGGCGGACAGUUAAGUUGGGGGUGAAAGCCCGGGGCUCAACCUCGGAAUUGCCUUCAAUACUGGCUGUCUUGAGUACGGGAGAGGUGAGUGGAACUCCGAGUGUAGAGGUGAAAUUCGUAGAUAUUCGGAAGAACACCAGUGGCGAAGGCGACUCACUGGCCCGUUACUGACGCUGAGGCGCGAAAGCGUGGGGAGCAAACA